RNAcentral lists this ribosomal RNA (509 nucleotides) under uncultured bacterium. RNAcentral's name for it is "partial 16S ribosomal RNA". It matches the Rfam family "Bacterial small subunit ribosomal RNA", at positions 28 to 506 of the family's 1533-position model. The record is from RNAcentral.
GACGAACGCUGGCGGCGUGCUUAACACAUGCAAGUCGAACGAAGAGCGAUGGAAGCUUGCUUCUAUCAAUCUUAGUGGCGAACGGGUGAGUAACGCGUAAUCAACCUGCCCUUCAGAGGGGGACAACAGUUGGAAACGACUGCUAAUACCGCAUACGAUCUAAUCUCGGCAUCGAGGAUAGAUGAAAGGUGGCCUCUACAUGUAAGCUAUCACUGAAGGAGGGGAUUGCGUCUGAUUAGCUAGUUGGAGGGGUAACGGCCCACCAAGGCGAUGAUCAGUAGCCGGUCUGAGAGGAUGAACGGCCACAUUGGGACUGAGACACGGCCCAGACUCCUACGGGAGGCAGCAGUGGGGAAUCUUCCGCAAUGGACGAAAGUCUGACGGAGCAACGCCGCGUGAGCGAUGACGGCCUUCGGGUUGUAAAGCUCUGUUAAUCGGGACGAAAGGCCUUCUUGCGAAUAGUGAGAAGGAUUGACGGUACCGGAAUAGAAAGCCAUGGCUAACUACGU